Molecule: ribosomal RNA, 463 nt
Filed under: uncultured archaeon
Lineage: Archaea
Description: bacterial SSU rRNA
Rfam family: Archaeal small subunit ribosomal RNA
Source: RNAcentral
CCACAAGGGGUGAAGCCUGCGGUUCAAUUGGAGUCAACGCCAGGAAUCUUACCCGGGGAGACAGCAGUAUGAAGGUCAAGCUGAAGACUUUACCAGACAAGCUGAGAGGAGGUGCAUGGCCGUCGCCAGCUCGUGCCGUGAGGUGUCCUGUUAAGUCAGGUAACGAGCGAGAUCCCUGCCCUUAGUUGCUGCAGUUACUCUCAGGAGUAGCUGGGCUAACUAAGGGGACCGCCACUGCUGGAGUGGAGGAAGGAGGGGGCCACGGCAGGUCAGUAUGCCCCGAAACCCUGGGGCUACACGCGGGCUGCAAUGAUAGAGACAACGGGUUCCGAACUCGAAAGAGGGAGGCAAUCCUUAAACUCUAUCUCAGUUAUGAUUGAGGGCUGCAACUCGCCCUCAUGAAUAUGGAAUCCCUAGUAACCGCGCGUCAUAACCGCGCAGUGAAUACGUCCCUGCUCCUUGU